This 259-nucleotide unclassified non-coding RNA is filed under the name uncultured fungus. RNAcentral describes it as "sequence contains ITS1, 5.8S rRNA gene". The stretch from base 211 to 259 matches the Rfam family "5.8S ribosomal RNA", at positions 1 to 49 of the family's 154-position model. Lineage: Eukaryota; Fungi. The record is from RNAcentral.
UUUCCGUAGGUGAACCUGCGGAAGGAUCAUUACGAGGAGUUUGAUAUCUUUUAAGAUGUCUACCUUCCACCCUUUUGUUAUAUGAAAAUCAUAUUGCUUCGGCAGACCGUUUCUUUACUGAGACCAUUGACUUAUAAAGUGGAUGUGUUGUCUGCCGAAGAUUUUAACUCUUGAACUUAUGAUGUCUGAGUUUUUUAUACAAAAAAUAAAAACUUUCAACAACGGAUCUCUUGGUUCUGGCAUCGAUGAAGAACGCAGC